AAAUAUAUUAUAUAUGCAACUGAUUACUGACUACUCCGCAUGCCAUUAAUAUUUUUCACAACGAGACAAAUAGUUUAAUAU
RNAcentral lists this small RNA (81 nucleotides) under Arabidopsis thaliana (thale cress). Its description in RNAcentral is "ATSL067460". Lineage: Eukaryota; Viridiplantae; Streptophyta; Magnoliopsida; Brassicales; Brassicaceae. The record is from RNAcentral.